GAGCAGCAGCAAGGAAAGAAAAAGCCAGGUGUAGCCAGUGUUGCUUAAGGUCUUUCUGCUUGUUUAUCACCUUUGGCCUCUUAUUUGUAACCCUACUGUGGAUAAUAGAAUUAAAUGUAAAUAGACACAUGCUCUCUUUAGAGAAGAGGUGGUGUCCUCCAACCAUUCCUCCUCUUAUGUAGAUAUACUGUGUAUCUUUUUGGCUCUGUGCUCCCAUCAUUUCAUUUUUAUUUGCCUGUGUUGAGACCUGGUUCCUGGAUUUCAAAGUGCUGUCAUGAGAGACAGCAAAAGAAAAGACUCCUCAUAGGUCAGGAUCCUGCUGAAAGAGGGCACUUAUGUAAUCCGAUGGUCUUUUUGGUGGUCACUUUUAUUCUCCACUUCAAUCUGAAGUAGCCUUUGAUGAGAAAGCUGCUGAAAAGCAGGAGAGUGAAAAACCAUUUCUAAAACU
Molecule: long non-coding RNA, 448 nt
Filed under: Homo sapiens (human)
Lineage: Eukaryota; Metazoa; Chordata; Mammalia; Primates; Hominidae
Description: non-protein coding lnc-REEP3-3:1
Source: RNAcentral